CUAUUAAUGAUACGUCUAUAAAGUUCUCUCAGUUAUCUUUCGAUAUUCUUCGUAUAGCUCCUGCGACAGCUCCUCUCGAUAGUCCAUGUAAUAGCUUUUGUUAUCAGCACACUUAUAACUCGUAAAUAUUGAAAAUCUAGAGGUCUCUAUGUCUAACAAAUCGACUGGUUCUGUAAAAUGGUUCAACGAAACUAAAGGUUUUGGUUUCAUCACUCAAGACAACGGCGGCAAAGAUGUAUUCGUACACUUCGCUUCAAUCGUUUCUGAAGGUUUCAAAACUCUGGCUGAAGGCCAGCGUGUAAGCUUCGACGUUGAGCAGGGCAAAAAAGGCCCACAAGCUGCAAACGUAGUAGCACUAUAAUUCC
Molecule: small RNA, 365 nt
Filed under: Vibrio fluvialis
Lineage: Bacteria; Pseudomonadati; Pseudomonadota; Gammaproteobacteria; Vibrionales; Vibrionaceae
Description: cspA thermoregulator
Rfam family: cspA thermoregulator
Source: RNAcentral